GACGAACGCUGGCGGCGUGCUUAACACAUGCAAGUCGAACGGGAGUAUUGAAGAAGCUUGCUUUAGAGAUACUUAGUGGCGGACGGGUGAGUAACGCGUGAGGAGCUGUCCUAUGCAGGGGGACAACAGCUGGAAACGGUUGCUAAUACCCCAUAAGCCGAGAGGUAAAAGGAUCAAUCCGGCAGAGGAGGUACUCGCGUCCUAUCAGCUAGUAGGUGAGGUAACGGCUCACCUAGGCGAAGACGGGUAGCCGGCCUGAGAGGGCGAACGGCCACACUGGAACUGAGAUACGGUCCAGACUCCUACGGGAGGCAGCAGUGGGGAAUAUUGGGCAAUGGGGGAAACCCUGACCCAGCGACGCCGCGUGGGUGAAGAAAUCCUUCGGGAUGUAAAGCCCUGUUGUAUGGGAAGAGCGGAAGACGGUACCAUACGAGGAAGCCCCGGCAAACUACGUG
RNAcentral lists this ribosomal RNA (455 nucleotides) under uncultured bacterium. Its description in RNAcentral is "bacterial SSU rRNA". It matches the Rfam family "Bacterial small subunit ribosomal RNA", at positions 28 to 507 of the family's 1533-position model. The record is from RNAcentral.